This is a long non-coding RNA of Oncorhynchus tshawytscha (Chinook salmon), 2187 nucleotides long. The record is from Ensembl. NCBI's taxonomy places the organism in Eukaryota, Metazoa, Chordata, Actinopteri, Salmoniformes, Salmonidae.
CUAGGCUUUGGGAUAGUUAAAAGGCUGCCUCUCCAUGCCUCUUGGUCCUAGGCUUUGGGAUAGUUAAAAGGCUGCCUCUCCAUGCCUCUUGGUCCUAGGCUUUGGGAUAGUUAAAAUGCUGCCUCUCCAUGCCUCUUGGUCCUAGGCUUUGGGAUAGUUAAAAGGCUGCCUCUCCAUGCCUCUUGGUCCUAGGCUUUGGGAUAGUUAAAAGGCUGCCUCUCCAUGCCUCUUGGUCCUAGGCUUUGGGAUAGUUAAAAGGCUGCCUCUCCAUGCCUCUUGGUCCUAGGCUUUAGGAUAGUUAAAAGGCUGCCUCUCCAUGCCUCUUGGUCCUAGGCUUUGGGAUAGUUAAAAGGCUGCCUCUCCAUGCCUCUUGGUCCUAGGCUUUGGGAUAGUUAAAAGGCUGCCUCUCCAUGCCUCUUGGUCCUAGGCUUUAGGAUAGUUAAAAGGCUGCCUCUCCAUGCCUCUUGGUCCUAGGCUUUGGGAUAGUUAAAAGACUGUCUCUCCAUGCCUCUUGGUCCUAGGCUUUGGGAUAGUUAAAAGGCCAGUGUCAGAGGACCUGAGGGACCUACUGGGUACAUAACUUAUAAGCAUGUCUGACAUUUAUUAUGGUGUACAAUCGUGGAUUGAUUUAAAAACCAAUAGAAUAAUCUUAUAAUGUAUUCACAGGCAGCCAGUGCAGAGACCUUAAAACUGGUGUUAAAGGUGCUAUCUAGAACCUAAAAUGGUUCUUUGGCUGCCCUCAUAGGAGAAACCUUUAAAGAACCAUUUUUAGUUCCAGGUAGAACAUUUUUGGGCCCUGGUAGAACCCUUUUGGGAUCCAUGAAGAACCCUUUCUACAGAGGGUUCAACCUGGAACCAAAAAGGGUUCUCCUAUGGUGACAGCUGAAGAACCGUUUUGGACACAAAUUUGUUUACAUCCUAGUUAGUAAGCAAUUCUCGUUUGCCAAGAUAAUCCUUCCACCUGACAGGUGUGGCAUACUAAAGAGCAUGAUCAUUACACAGGUACACCUGGGGUCUGGGGACAGUAAAAGGCCACUCUAAAAUGUCCAGUUUUGACACACAACACAAUUCUAAAGAUGUCUCAAGUUUUGAGGGAGCAUGCAAUUGGCAUGCUGACUGCAGGAAUGUCUACCAGAGCUGUUGCCAGAUAAUUGAAUGUUAAUUUCUCUACCACAAGCCGCCUCCAACGUUGUUUUAGAGAAUUUGCCAGUACGUCCAACCGGCCUCACAACUGCAGACAAUGUUUAUGGUGUUGUGUGGGUGAGCAGUUUGAUGAUGUCAUUAUUGUGAACAGAGUACCCCAUGGUGGCGCUGGGGUUAUGGAAUGGGCAGGCAUAAGCUAUGGACCGCAAACACAAUUGCAUUUUAUUGAUGGCAGUUUGAAUGCACAGUGAUACCGUGACGAGAUCCUGAGGCCCAUUGUCGUGCCAGUCAUCCUCUGCCGUCAGCUCAUGUUUCAGCAUGGAAGCUGAAAAUGUCCCAGUUCUUCCAUGGCCUGCGUACUUACCAGACAUGUCAACCAUUAGGCAUGCUUGAGAUGCUCUGGAUCGAUGUGUACGACAGUGUGUUCCAGUUCCCGACAAUAUCCAGCAACUUCGCACAGCCAUUGAAGAGGAGUGCGACAACAUUCCACAGGCCACAAUCAACAGCCUGAUCAACUUUAUGCGAAGGAGAUGUGUUGUGCUGCAUGAUGGUGGUCACACCGGAUACUGACUGGUUUUCUGAUCCACACCCCUACCUUUUUUUUCAGGUAUCUGUGACCAACCAAUGCAUAUCUGCAUUCCCAGUCAUGUGAAAUCCAUAGAUUAGUGCUUAAUUUAUUUAUUUAAAUUGACUGAUUUCCUUAUAUGAACUGUAACUCAGUAAAAUCUUGAACAUUGUUGCACGUGUGUUUGCAUUUUUGUUCAGUAUAUAUCCUUCCUCCCCUCUCUGUCUGCCUCCUUUGUCCCUCUCCUUCUCUUCCCUAAAUCUGAAUUCAGAUGAUCCUGAUUAGCAUUGCAGGCGCUAUCCCAUGUUGACAAAGUGUGGUUUCAUCCCCCUACCCCUCCAUCCUCCGUGUGUGUGUGUCUGUGUGUGUGUGUGUGUGUGUGUGUGUGUCUAUGACUCUGUGUACGAGCUGCGGCUGCUGUCCCGGCGAGGGGUGUUGCUGAGUGAGCCCAGUCCAUCAGUUAACGUCUCCAACAUGGG